Molecule: transfer RNA, 87 nt
Filed under: bacterium
Lineage: Bacteria
Description: tRNA-Ser
Rfam family: tRNA
About the family: Transfer RNA (tRNA) molecules are approximately 80 nucleotides in length. Their secondary structure includes four short double-helical elements and three loops (D, anti-codon, and T loops). Further hydrogen bonds mediate the characteristic L-shaped molecular structure. tRNAs have two regions of fundamental functional importance: the anti-codon, which is responsible for specific mRNA codon recognition, and the 3' end, to which the tRNAs corresponding amino acid is attached (by aminoacyl-tRNA synthetases). tRNAs cope with the degeneracy of the genetic code in two manners: having more than one tRNA (with a specific anti-codon) for a particular amino acid; and 'wobble' base-pairing, i.e. permitting non-standard base-pairing at the 3rd anti-codon position.
Source: RNAcentral
GGUGAGGUGGCCGAGUGGUCGAAGGCGCACGCUUGGAAAGCGUGUAGAGUGGAAACAUUCUCCAGGGUUCGAAUCCCUGUCUCACCG